UACAGAGGGUGCAAGCGUUAAUCGGAAUUACUGGGCGUAAAGCGAGCGUAGUCGGUUAUUUAAGUCGGAUGUGAAAUCCCCGGGCUCAACCUGGGAAUUGCAUUCGAUACCGGAUAGCUAGAGUUCGGCAGAGGGAAGCGGAAUUUCUGGUGUAGCGGUGAAAUGCGUAGAUAUCAGAAGGAACAUCAGUGGCGAAAGCGGCUUCCUGGACCAGAACUGACGAUCAGGCUCGAAAGCGUGGGGAGCAAACAGG
RNAcentral lists this ribosomal RNA (253 nucleotides) under uncultured bacterium. RNAcentral describes it as "partial 16S ribosomal RNA". It matches the Rfam family "Bacterial small subunit ribosomal RNA", at positions 524 to 776 of the family's 1533-position model. The record is from RNAcentral.